RNAcentral lists this ribosomal RNA (253 nucleotides) under uncultured bacterium. RNAcentral's name for it is "partial 16S ribosomal RNA". It matches the Rfam family "Bacterial small subunit ribosomal RNA", at positions 524 to 776 of the family's 1533-position model. The record is from RNAcentral.
UACGUAGGGAGCGAGCGUUGUCCGGAUUUACUGGGUGUAAAGGGUGCGUAGGCGGGAACACAAGUCAGGCGUGAAAUACCGGGGCUCAACUCCGGGGCUGCGCUUGAAACUGUGUUUCUUGAGUGAAGUAGAGGCAGGCGGAAUUCCUAGUGUAGCGGUGGAAUGCGUAGAUAUUAGGAGGAACACCAGUGGCGAAGGCGGCCUGCUGGGCUUUAACUGACGCUGAUGCACGAAAGCAUGGGGAGCAAACAGG